Molecule: ribosomal RNA, 468 nt
Filed under: uncultured bacterium
Lineage: Bacteria
Description: partial 16S ribosomal RNA
Rfam family: Bacterial small subunit ribosomal RNA
Source: RNAcentral
GACGAACGCUGGCGGCGUGCUUAACACAUGCAAGUCGAACGGAAAGGCCCUGCUUUUGUGGGGUGCUCGAGUGGCGAACGGGUGAGUAACACGUGAGUAACCUGCCCUUGACCUUGGGAUAACUUCAGGAAACUGGGGCUAAUACCGGAUAGGAGCUCCUGCUGCAUGGUGGGGGUGGGAAAGUUUCGGCGGUUGGGGCUGGACUCGCGGCUUAUCAGCUUGUUGGUGGGGUAGUGGCUUACCAAGGCUUUGACGGGUAGCCGGCCUGGGAGGGUGACCGGCCACAUUGGGACUGGGAUACGGCCCAGACUCCUACGGGAGGCAGCAGUGGGGGAUAUUGCACAAUGGGCGGAAGCCUGAUGCAGCAACGCCGCGUGCGGGAUGGCGGCCUUCGGGUUGUAAACCGCUUUCGCCUGUGACGAAGCGUGAGUGACGGUAAUGGGUAAAGAAGCACCGGCUAACUACGUG